UCGGUGAUGAUCGGUGCUUGCACCGAGAUUCAACAUGGAACGAGUGGCGGACGGGUGAGUAACACGUGGGUAACCUGCCCUUAAGUGGGGGAUAACAUUUGGAAACAGAUGCUAAUACCGCAUAGAUCCAAGAACCGCGUGGUUCUUGGCUGAAAGAUGGCGUAAGCUAUCGCUUUUGGAUGGACCCGCGGCGUAUUAGCUAGUUGGUGAGGUAAUGGCUCACCAAGGCGAUGAUACGUAGCCGAACUGAGAGGUUGAUCGGCCACAUUGGGACUGAGACACGGCCCAAACUCCUACGGGAGGCAGCAGUAGGGAAUCUUCCACAAUGGACGCAAGUCUGAUGGAGCAACGCCGCGUGAGUGAAGAAGGCUUUCGGGUCGUAAAACUCUGUUGUUGGAGAAGAAUGGUCGGCAGAGUAACUGUUGUCGGCGUGACGGUAUCCAACCAGAAAGCCACGGCUAACUACGUGCCAGCAGCCGCGGUAAUACGUAGGUGGCAAGCGUUAUCCGGAUUUAUUGGGCGUAAAGCGAGCGCAGGCGGUUUUCUAAGUCUGAUGUGAAAGCCCUCGGCUUAACCGAGGAAGCGCAUCGGAAACUGGGAAACUUGAGUGCAGAAGAGGACAGUGGAACUCCAUGUGUAGCGGUGAAAUGCGUAGAUAUAUGGAAGAACACCAGUGGCGAAGGCGGCUGUCUGGUCUGUAACUGACGCUGAGGCUCGAAAGCAUGGGUAGCGAACAGGAUUAGAUACCCUGGUAGUCCAUGCCGUAAACGAUGAAUGCUAGGUGUUGGAGGGUUUCCGCCCUUC
Molecule: ribosomal RNA, 804 nt
Filed under: uncultured bacterium
Lineage: Bacteria
Description: bacterial SSU rRNA
Rfam family: Bacterial small subunit ribosomal RNA
Source: RNAcentral